RNA transcript from Vigna unguiculata (cowpea), 4068 nucleotides. It is a transcript of the gene named CRM-domain containing factor CFM2, chloroplastic-like, with no coding region annotated. The record is from RefSeq and is a predicted model, not a curated record. NCBI's taxonomy places the organism in Eukaryota, Viridiplantae, Streptophyta, Magnoliopsida, Fabales, Fabaceae.
GUAUAUAUCUUGUUUUUUAGGAUGGAAAGUUGAUAUUUAUUGAAACACCAUAUAAAGUAUCGUUAUCCAUGUCUAUGUGCAUGGAGUAACUCUCUGCUUCUCUCAAAUGUUGCUUCCUGCAACUCACUUCCACUUCCACUUCCACUUCCAAUCCUUUCCUUCUUCUUCUUAUUCUUCUUCCUCUUCUUCAUAUUCAUUUUCUUCAUCACUGCACAUAUUCCCUCUUCAUUUCCCCAAACCCAAACUCAAAUUCCUCAUUCGUUGCUCCCACUCCGAAGCCGAAACCCUCCCUGACUCUGCCAUUCAGCGAAUAGCCGACAAGCUCCGCAGCCUUGGCAUCGACGACCAGUCCUCCUCUUCUCUUCCCGCUACAGCCUCUGGCGCCGGCGAGAUCUUCGUACCGCUUCCGGAGAACCUGCCGAAGCGGCGCGUCGGGCACACGAUCGACCCGAGCUGGGCGAAGCAGGAGGAGCGGGUGCCGACGCUGGCGGAGCUGAGCCUGCCAAAUGCGGAGAUAAAGCGGCUGACGACGGUGGGGUUGAGGAUAAGGCAGAAGCUGCGGGUGGGGAAGGCGGGGAUCACGGAAGGGAUCGUGAACGGGAUUCAUGAACGGUGGAGGAAUUCAGAGGUCGUGAGAAUCGCGUGCGAUGAUCUCUCUAGAUUUAACAUGAAAAGGACUCAUGACUUGUUGGAGAGAAAAACUGGAGGCCUUGUUGUUUGGAGAUCUGGAAGUAAGAUAAUAUUAUACAGAGGGCCUGAUUAUAAGUACCCUUACUUCCUAUCUGAUAAAGUUUUGAGAGAUGACCAAAGUGGUGAUGCUUUGCAACAUCAUAUGGAUGAGAAUGAUAAAGGUUGGGAUAAAAGAGAGACCCACUUGUCUGAAAAUAAUUCAGUGACAUACACUAGGCAAAGCUUAAAUGCCCAAACGGCAAAACCAGCUUUGAUACAAGGUGUUGGGACUCCCAGAAAAGUAAGAUUUCAACUGCCAGGUGAGGCGGAGCUUGCUAAAGAUGCAGACUACUUGUUAACAGGGAUUGGGCCACGCUUUUUUGAUUGGUGGGGAUAUGAUCCUCUGCCUGUUGAUGCUGAUCUUCUACCAGCUGUUAUUCCUGGAUAUAGAAAGCCUUUUCGCCUUCUUCCAUAUGGUGUGAAGCCGAAACUGACAGAUGAUGAAAUGACCACAAUGAGAAGGCUUGGCAAACAUUUACCAUGUCAUUUUGCACUAGGUAGAAACAGGAAACUACAAGGAUUGGCUGUUGCAAUUAUUAAGAUUUGGGAAAGAUGUGAGAUUGUCAAGAUUGCUAUAAAGAGAGGUGUGGAGAAUACUGAUGGCGAGGUAAUGGCUGAAGAGAUAAAGUAUCUGACUGGAGGUACUCUCCUUGCUCGGGAUAAAGAAUUCAUUGUUUUCUAUAGAGGAAAGGACUUCUUGCCAGCUGCAGUGUCAUCAGCAAUUGAACAACGGAGGAGUAUUGGAAUGUAUAAGCUGAAAACUGGAAAUAGUUUGUCAAUUACAGAUGCUCCAGAUCUGAAUUAUGGAACCAUAGAGUAUGAUUCCGAAGUGCAGGGUAUGAACUUCCAGAAAGAUACUAAACCCGGAAUAUUGACUGAGGCUGAGAAAACUACUAAAAGCACCAGCAUAAAAUUGUCAAUGGCACUAGAAGAGAAAACAAAGGCUGAGAAACUUCUAGCAGAGCUGGAAAAUGCAGAGAGCCCCCAAGAAGAAGAAAUGAAUAGAGAGGGUAUUACUGAAGAAGAGAAAUACAUGUUGCGGAGGAUUGGCUUGAAGAUGGGUCCCUUCCUGUUACUAGGUAGACGGGGUGUUUUUGAUGGAACGGUAGAAAAUAUGCAUCUUCAUUGGAAGUAUCGAGAACUUGUGAAGAUAAUAUGUAAUAAAUGCCUGGAAGAUGUCCAACAGAUAGCUCAGACCUUAGCGGCAGAAAGUGGUGGAAUAUUAAUUGCAGUAGAAAGACUACGCAAGGGCCAUGCAAUCAUUGUGUAUCGUGGAAAGAAUUAUAGUCGGCCUGCAAGUUUGAGGCCUCGAACACUUUUAAAUAAAAGAGAAGCAUUGAAGCGCUCUAAGGAAGCACAGCGUCGCCAGUCAUUGAAGCUCCAUGUUUUGAAGCUAGGUAGGAACAUAGACAGAUUGAAACUUCAAAUGGCUCAAGAUAUGGAGGCAAACAGUCCGCAGACUCCUGUUGACAACCAACAAGCAAUAAAGGAGCAACGAAUUGAGCUGAGUGAUAGUUAUGGAGCUCAUCAAGUUGAACCAGGAAAUUCCAUAAAUUGGAAUUCUCCUCAUGAACCUUCUGUCGACAACCGACAAGCAAUACAGGAGCAGUCAGUUGGGCUGGUUGAUGGUGGUGGAGCUCUUAAAAGUGAAGCUGACAAUUUCAUAAAUUGGAACCCUACCACAGAAACUUCUGUUGAUAAUCCACGAGCAAUGCAAGGGCAGCCAGUUGAGCUGAUAGAUAAUAGUGAAGCUCAUCAAGGUGAACCAGAAAUUUCUGCAAAUUGGAAAUUGCCUGAAGAAGCUCCUGUUGACAAUCAAGAAGCAAUACAGGAUCAGCCUGUUGAGCUGGUUGAUGGUGGUGGAGCUCUUAAAAGUGAGGCUGACAAUUUCAUAAAUUGGAACCCUACCAUAGAAACUUCUGUUGAUAAUCCACGAGCAAUGCAGGGGCAGUCAGUUGAGCUGAUAGAUAAUGGUGAAGCUCAUCAAGGUGAACCAGAAAUUUCUGCAAAUUGGAAUUUGCCUGAAGAAGCUCCUGUUGACAAUCAGGAAGCAAUACAGGAUCAGCCUGUUGAUCUGAUUGAUGGCGGUGGAGCUCAUCAAGAUAGACCAGUAUACUGGCCUGGUGUGAUUCCUAAAAAUACAGUUUUAGAUGGAGUUAGUGAUUCUGUGGAUGGCGUCUCAAUUAACAAGGUAAUGGAAUCAUCAGUCAUAUCAUCGAAGAGUGAUGCUGACCUAUCAGCUCUGGUGAGAGAUAUGAGUUCAAAUGAGUUACCUUCUGGAUCUGUGUAUCUUUCCAACAAAGAGAGACUUCUUCUGCGAAAGCAGGCACUAACUAUGAAAAAGCGGUCUGUCCUUUCUGUAGGAAAGAGCAAUAGUGUAACUGGUAUUGCGAAAGCUAUCAAUGCUCACUUCCGGAAAUACCCUCUUGCCGUAGUUAAUGUCAAAGGAAGGGCAAAAGGGACCUCAGUUCAGGAGGUGGUGUCCAAGCUAGAGCAAGCAACAGGUGCCGUUCUGGUCUCUCAGGAGCUUCACAAAGUCAUACUGUACAGGGGUUGGGGGGAAGGAGAGCAACCUAGCACUGCUAUAAAUGUUAACAAACUGGGUCAAGAGGGAGCGGCAAAGCCCAGUGUCUCUCCUGAGCUCUGGGAAGCUAUCAGAAUUGAAUGCGGAUUGCAGUAACUAACAUAACAUUGCUGCUCAUUACUGAUAAAAAACAUUGCCAAUUUUCUCAUCAACACAACACUAGGGUUUAUAGAGAUAGAUCUACUUAGUCCAAAUAACAUGGGAAUUGGUGGAAAAGAAAUAGGAAAUACACAAAAGGGAGAGGUUAAGUGUCUAAACUUCUGUCUGUAUAAACUCAUGUAAUGGCUCCCUGAUCAAUUCAACCAUGGAUAGGUAAGUGUAGAAGUCCGUGAUCAACAAUCAAAGUCAAUUAUGGCGAUGUGGCAAGUGACGUUGGAUAGUUGAUGUGGGCAGAGUGUUGAAUGUUAGUAAUGUGGUAGGUGACUAGGCAAAGCAGGUGCCGUCUUUGAUUGAUGAUUGGACGUGACACAAGUUUUGCAUUUGUAAGAAUAUAUUUCGGAAUGUCUUUUUCAGGAUUUAGGGUUGGACUCUACUCAUUUCCGGAGUGAAAGUGCUGGACUCAAUAUUUUCUCUUUUUCAAAAUUCUCCUAAAAGGUAUCAUUUCUAUUGCUAUGCUCUUUGAGAAAGUGCAAAUACAGACUGCAAAGUGAAUGCACCAAACUGGAAUUGAAUGUUGAUUCAUACAUCAUUUUCUUAUGUAAUUAGAUGUUAAUUGAUACGUCAUUCUCUUAUUCAUAUAACUUCUUUUACAGACA